CUGUUUGUAGUUGUUUUAUACAAUUUUUUUGCUUAAAGCAAAAAAGGUAUAGUCAUGUUUUAUCAAAUGGCC
RNAcentral lists this transfer RNA (72 nucleotides) under Ulva gigantea. RNAcentral's name for it is "tRNA-Leu". Lineage: Eukaryota; Viridiplantae; Chlorophyta; Ulvophyceae; Ulvales; Ulvaceae. The record is from RNAcentral.